AUUUAAUGAGGUGUUAUUUGCAUUUUGUAUCUUGGUUACAAAGGGGAUUAGAAAUCCGUUAAAU
RNAcentral lists this transfer RNA (64 nucleotides) under Raillietina tetragona. RNAcentral's name for it is "tRNA-Gln". Lineage: Eukaryota; Metazoa; Platyhelminthes; Cestoda; Cyclophyllidea; Davaineidae. The record is from RNAcentral.